This 497-nucleotide ribosomal RNA is filed under the name uncultured bacterium. RNAcentral's name for it is "partial 16S ribosomal RNA". It matches the Rfam family "Bacterial small subunit ribosomal RNA", at positions 28 to 507 of the family's 1533-position model. The record is from RNAcentral.
GACGAACGCUGGCGGCGUGCCUAAUACAUGCAAGUAGAACGCUGAAGAGAGGAGCUUGCUCUUCUUGGAUGAGUUGCGAACGGGUGAGUAACGCGUAGGUAACCUGCCUUGUAGCGGGGGAUAACUAUUGGAAACGAUAGCUAAUACCGCAUAACAAUGGAUGACACAUGUCAUUUAUUUGAAAGGGGCAAUUGCUCCACUACAAGAUGGACCUGCGUUGUAUUAGCUAGUAGGUGAGGUAAUGGCUCACCUAGGCGACGAUACAUAGCCGACCUGAGAGGGUGAUCGGCCACACUGGGACUGAGACACGGGCCAGACUCCUACGGGAGGCAGCAGUAGGGAAUCUUCGGCAAUGGAGGCAACCCUGGCCGAGCAACGCCGCGUGAGUGAAGAAGGUUUUCGGAUCGGAAAGCUCUGUUGUAAGUCAAGAACGGGUGUGAGAGUGGAAAGUUCACACUGUGACGGUAGCUUACCAGAAAGGGACGGCUAACUACGUG